UGAACGCUGGCGGCAGGCUUAACACAUGCAAGUCGAGCGGUAACAGAUCCAGCUUGCUGGAUGCUGACGAGCGGCGGACGGGUGAGUAACGCGUAGGAAUCUACCCAGUAGCGGGGGAUAGCCCGGGGAAACCCGGAUUAAUACCGCAUACGCCCUAUGGGGGAAAGCAGGGGAUCUUCGGACCUUGCACUAUUGGAUGAGCCUGCGUCGGAUUAGCUAGUUGGUGGGGUAAAGGCCUACCAAGGCGACGAUCCGUAGCUGGUCUGAGAGGAUGAUCAGCCACACCGGGACUGAGACACGGCCCGGACUCCUACGGGAGGCAGCAGUGGGGAAUAUUGGACAAUGGGGGCAACCCUGAUCCAGCCAUGCCGCGUGUGUGAAGAAGGCUUUCGGGUUGUAAAGCACUUUCAGUGAGGAGGAAAUGGUGACUGUUAAUAGCGGUUACAAUUGACGUUACUCACAGAAGAAGCACCGGCUAACUCC
This 483-nucleotide ribosomal RNA is filed under the name uncultured bacterium. RNAcentral describes it as "bacterial SSU rRNA". It matches the Rfam family "Bacterial small subunit ribosomal RNA", at positions 30 to 504 of the family's 1533-position model. The record is from RNAcentral.